CCAAUAGCGUAUAUUAAAGUUGUUGCAGUUAAAAAGCUCGUAGUUGAAUUUCGGGGUUAGCAGGUCGGUCGUGCCAUUGGUAUGAACUGGUCUCGCUGAUUCCUCCCUCUUGAAGAACUGUGAUGCCAUUAAUUUGGUGUCGCAGGGAAUCAGGACUGUUACUUUGAAAAAAUUAGAGUGUUUAAAGCAGGCUUACGCUUGAAUACAUUAGCAUGGAAUAAUGAAAUAGGACGUUUGAUCCUAUUUUGUUGGUUUCUAGGAUUGACGUAAUGAUUAAUAAGGAUAGUUGGGGGCAUUAGUAUUCAAUUGUCAGAGGUGAAAUUCUUGGAUUUAUUGAAGACUAACUACUGCGAAAGCAUUUGCCAAGGAUGUUUUCAUUAAUCAAGAACGAAAGUUAGGGGAUCGAAGACGAUCAGACACCGUCGUAGUCUUAACCAUAAACUAUGCCGACUAGGGAUCGGAUGAUGUUAAUUUUUUAAUGACUCAUUCGGCGCCUUACG
RNAcentral lists this ribosomal RNA (500 nucleotides) under uncultured Glomeromycotina. Its description in RNAcentral is "partial small subunit ribosomal RNA". It matches the Rfam family "Eukaryotic small subunit ribosomal RNA", at positions 591 to 1092 of the family's 1831-position model. Lineage: Eukaryota; Fungi; Glomeromycota. The record is from RNAcentral.